Molecule: ribosomal RNA, 777 nt
Filed under: uncultured bacterium
Lineage: Bacteria
Description: bacterial SSU rRNA
Rfam family: Bacterial small subunit ribosomal RNA
Source: RNAcentral
AGAGUUUGAUCCUGGCUCAGGAUGAACGCUGGCGGCGUGCUUAACACAUGCAAGUCGAACGGUGAACACGGAGCUUGCUCUGUGGGAUCAGUGGCGAACGGGUGAGUAACACGUGAGCAACCUGCCCCUGACUCUGGGAUAAGCGCUGGUAACGGCGUCUAAUACUGGAUAUGUGACGUGAUCGCAUGGUCUGCGUCUGGAAAGAAUUUCGGUUGGGGAUGGGCUCGCGGCCUAUCAGCUUGUUGGUGAGGUAAUGGCUCACCAAGGCGUCGACGGGUAGCCGGCCUGAGAGGGUGACCGGCCACACUGGGACUGAGACACGGCCCAGACUCCUACGGGAGGCAGCAGUGGGGAAUAUUGCACAAUGGGCGCAAGCCUGAUGCAGCAACGCCGCGUGAGGGACGACGGCCUUCGGGUUGUAAACCUCUUUUAGCAGGGAAGAAGCGAAAGUGACGGUACCUGCAGAAAAAGCGCCGGCUAACUACGUGCCAGCAGCCGCGGUAAUACGUAGGGCGCAAGCGUUAUCCGGAAUUAUUGGGCGUAAAGAGCUCGUAGGCGGUUUGUCGCGUCUGCUGUGAAAUCCGGAGGCUCAACCUCCGGCCUGCAGUGGGUACGGGCAGACUAGAGUGCGGUAGGGGAGAUUGGAAUUCCUGGUGUAGCGGUGGAAUGCGCAGAUAUCAGGAGGAACACCGAUGGCGAAGGCAGAUCUCUGGGCCGUAACUGACGCUGAGGAGCGAAAGGGUGGGGAGCAAACAGGCUUAGAUACCCUGGUAGUCC